Molecule: long non-coding RNA, 384 nt
Organism: Ostrea edulis (European flat oyster)
Lineage: Eukaryota; Metazoa; Mollusca; Bivalvia; Ostreida; Ostreidae
Exons: 3
Source: RefSeq, a predicted model, not a curated record
AAACGUGAUGAUCAAUUAAAAACAUUGUAGGUUUUGCCAACGUUUCAUACAUAAGACAUAUACACGCAUCAGAAUGACGAUGUUGUGAAUCUUUUGAAAUAUUACGAAGCAUAGACGCGGAUGUUUCCAUAUUCUUUGGUCGCUGUUAUUGUUGCCAUAGCAAUCCUUUCACUUGGACUCCUCAUAUUUAUGAUCAUUUUGAUGUGGUCUCGAAUUAAGGAGAAAAGGAAAAGAGAUGCAACUCUUGCAGUAACCUAUCAAAACCAAAGUUUUGUCUCAGAGGAAUUGGGUCAUAGUUACGAUUGUCUACAGAGAGAAACUUACACAAAUGAUUCGUAUAUGUAAUUUUUGUUUUGCCUACAAAUAAAAAAAAUCGCAAACUCA